GUCACUCAACUUUCAAACCUCAAUCAGUAAAACCACAUCAACAAAACAUAUACAUCAAGAUACAGAAACUGUAUUUAAACACUUGGGCAUUGUUCAUAAUAAAAAUCCUACCAAGCUACAAAUAGAAAAGGAAGGAAGUUUCCAAAAGCUGAUUGUAUUUUAUCUUUUUUAAUCUAUAGCUUCCUGACCUCAAAACUGGCUAAAAGGCUAGGCGUGGUGGCAGAUGCUUGCAAUCCCAGCAUUUGAAGGCUGCUAUAAGAAGACUGCAAAUCCCAAAUCAAUCCAGGAUACAGGGAGAGAUUCUUUCUCACAAAAAACAAAAGCAAAAACAAAAACCAGACUAGGCCGGGACAUGCUGAUACACACCUAAAUCCCAGUACUUGGGAAGAAGUAGUAGGUGGGAUCUCUUAUGACCCUUCCUGGUCUACACAGCAAGUUCUGGGCAGCCAAGGCUAGUAAGACACUGUUUAAAAACAAACAAACAAACAAACAAACAAACAAACAAACAAACAAAAAAACAAGAAACCUGACUAUAGACCAUAAAAGCAAAGCAGCUGUGACACUUGGAGAUGGGGUGUGGCUCAGUGGCAAAGUACUUACCUAACAUACUCAUAUACUUGAGUUCAAACUCGAGUAUUGAAAAACAAAAACAAAACAGCAUGUUAUAGACAUUAUGACAGGCAGGCCAAUAGAAUGUCUGCAUGUCUGUAUCUUACCAAAUAUUUGUGUGUAGUUUGUUUGAUUGUUUUUUGUUUUUGUGUUUUGUUUUGUUUUUGUAGUGCUAGGUACUAAACCUAGAGUCUUGUGCAUGCUAAGCAAGGCCAAAUAAUUUUUUGACAAUUUUUUCCAUAUUCAAUAGGGAAAGAAAUCUUUUUAACACAGAGCCUAGGAAAACAAUGGCUAUAUACAAAAGAAUGAAAUUAUAUGUUACCUUGCACUAUAUCCAAAAAAUUAUCAAAU
RNAcentral lists this long non-coding RNA (960 nucleotides) under Mus musculus (house mouse). RNAcentral's name for it is "long non-coding RNA chr2:38864573-38865533". The record is from RNAcentral. Lineage: Eukaryota; Metazoa; Chordata; Mammalia; Rodentia; Muridae.